Molecule: non-coding RNA, 28 nt
Filed under: Mus musculus (house mouse)
Lineage: Eukaryota; Metazoa; Chordata; Mammalia; Rodentia; Muridae
Source: RNAcentral
UUCCAUUGAGUAUUAUACGCCAUCUGCA